GGGAAGCCGGUGUGAAUCCGGCACGGUCCCGCCACUGUGACCGGGGAGUGCGGUCCGCACGCACGCCACCGACGGAAGUCGGGAAGGCAGCGGGCCGCGCGGCGAUCCGGGAGUCAGGAUACC
This 123-nucleotide non-coding RNA is filed under the name Actinophytocola xinjiangensis. Lineage: Bacteria; Bacillati; Actinomycetota; Actinomycetes; Pseudonocardiales; Pseudonocardiaceae. The record is from RNAcentral.